AAUCUCGUCCCCUUAGCUGGCCUGCUCGACUCCAAAUCGCCAUCGAAACCGCAAGCGCAUUGUCCUUUCUCCACACCAAAGGUAACACAAUCUGAACAUACACAUACACACAAUGAGAUUAUAGACUAAUGAUGAUAACUUCUCUGAUACAGGAAUCAUACACAGAGACGUCAAGACUACUAACAUUCUCCUAGAUAGCAAUUACCAAGUGAAAGUAGCUGAUUUCGGACUCUCACGGCUUUUUCCGAUGGAUCAAACACACAUCUCCACCGCACCACAAGGCACUCCAGGGUAUGUAGAUCCUGA
This 306-nucleotide long non-coding RNA is filed under the name Capsella rubella. Its description in RNAcentral is "long non-coding RNA (CRUB_LNC002725)". The record is from RNAcentral. Lineage: Eukaryota; Viridiplantae; Streptophyta; Magnoliopsida; Brassicales; Brassicaceae.